UACGUAGGGCGCGAGCGUUGUCCGGAAUUAUUGGGCGUAAAGAGCUCGUAGGCGGCCGGUUGCGUCUGCUGUUAAAUCCCGGGGCUUAACCCCGGGCGUGCAGUGGAUACGGGCCGGCUGGAGGCAGGCAGGGGAGAAUGGAAUUCCCGGUGUAGCGGUGAAAUGCGCAGAUAUCGGGAGGAACACCGGUGGCGAAGGCGGUUCUCUGAGCCUGUACUGACGCUGAGGAGCGAAAGCGUGGGGAGCGAACAGG
This 253-nucleotide ribosomal RNA is filed under the name uncultured bacterium. RNAcentral's name for it is "partial 16S ribosomal RNA". It matches the Rfam family "Bacterial small subunit ribosomal RNA", at positions 524 to 776 of the family's 1533-position model. The record is from RNAcentral.